AACGAACGCUGGCGGCAUGCCUAACACAUGCAAGUCGAACGAGACCUUCGGGUCUAGUGGCGCACGGGUGCGUAACGCGUGGGAAUCUACCCUUGGGUUCGGAAUAACUCAGAGAAAUUUGAGCUAAUACCGGAUGAUGUCGCAAGACCAAAGAUUUAUCGCCCAAGGAUGAGCCCGCGUAGGAUUAGCUUGUUGGUGAGGUAAAAGCUCACCAAGGCGACGAUCCUUAGCUGGUCUGAGAGGAUGAUCAGCCACACUGGUACUGAGACACGGACCAGACUCCUACGGGAGGCAGCAGUAAGGAAUAUUGGUCAAUGGAGGCAACUCUGAACCAGCCAUGCCGCGUGCAGGAUGACGGCCCUAUGGGUUGUAAACUGCUUUUAUACAAGAGAAAACCCUGGUACGUGUACCAGGUUGAUAGUAUUGUAAGAAUAAGCAUCGGCUAACUUCGUGCCAGCAGCCGCGGUAAU
This 470-nucleotide ribosomal RNA is filed under the name uncultured bacterium. Its description in RNAcentral is "bacterial SSU rRNA". It matches the Rfam family "Bacterial small subunit ribosomal RNA", at positions 29 to 524 of the family's 1533-position model. The record is from RNAcentral.